GAUGAACGCUGGCGGCGUGCCUAAUACAUGCAAGUCGAGCGAACAGAUGAGGAGCUUGCGCCUCUGACGUUAGCGGCGGACGGGAGAGUAACACGUGUAUAACCUACCUGUAAGACUGGGAAAACUUCGGGAAACCGGAGCUAAUACCGGAUAAGAUAUUGAACCGCGUUGUUCAAUAGUGAGAGACGGCUGUGCUGGCACUUAUAGAUGGAUCCCCGCCGCAUUAGAUAGUUGGUGAGGUAACGGCUUAUCAAGGCAAGGAUGCGUAUCCGACCUGAGAGGGUGAUAGGCGACCUUGGAGGUGGAACAGGGACCAGGCUACUGCGGGACGCAGCAGUCGCGAAUGUGACGCAACGGGCGAAAGCAUGACGGAGCAAGGCCGAGUGAGUGGUGAAGGUGUUCGGUGCGUAAAAAUGUGUUAUUAGGGAAGAACAAAUGUGUAAGUAAAUAAGCACGUAUUGACGGUAACUGAUAAGAAAGCACCGGCUAACUACGUG
This 497-nucleotide ribosomal RNA is filed under the name uncultured bacterium. RNAcentral's name for it is "partial 16S ribosomal RNA". It matches the Rfam family "Bacterial small subunit ribosomal RNA", at positions 28 to 507 of the family's 1533-position model. The record is from RNAcentral.